Molecule: transfer RNA, 63 nt
Filed under: Limenitis cleophas
Lineage: Eukaryota; Metazoa; Arthropoda; Insecta; Lepidoptera; Nymphalidae
Description: tRNA-Cys
Source: RNAcentral
AGUCUUAUAUUCAAAUAAUGAUAUAAAAUUGCAAAUUUUAAGGUGUAAAUAAUGCUAAGACUU